This 75-nucleotide transfer RNA is filed under the name Terriglobia bacterium. RNAcentral describes it as "tRNA-Arg". It matches the Rfam family "tRNA". Rfam says of the family: Transfer RNA (tRNA) molecules are approximately 80 nucleotides in length. Their secondary structure includes four short double-helical elements and three loops (D, anti-codon, and T loops). Further hydrogen bonds mediate the characteristic L-shaped molecular structure. tRNAs have two regions of fundamental functional importance: the anti-codon, which is responsible for specific mRNA codon recognition, and the 3' end, to which the tRNAs corresponding amino acid is attached (by aminoacyl-tRNA synthetases). tRNAs cope with the degeneracy of the genetic code in two manners: having more than one tRNA (with a specific anti-codon) for a particular amino acid; and 'wobble' base-pairing, i.e. permitting non-standard base-pairing at the 3rd anti-codon position. Lineage: Bacteria; Pseudomonadati; Acidobacteriota; Terriglobia. The record is from RNAcentral.
CGGGCCAUCGUCCAACGGACAGGGCGCAGUCCUCCGAAGGCUGAGAUUCCGGUUCAAGUCCGGAUGGCUCGACCA